GUAGAAAAAUUGUCAAUUGUUAUCCAAACUCCAUAGUUAUGGCAGUAGUUGAAGAAAAAGGUCAAGAGAAGCACACUGAAGAUGGCACAGUAGACUUACAAGGUAGACCUGUUUUAAGAUCAAAAUCUGGAAGAUGGAAAGCAUGUUCUUUUAUAGUAGGUAUGAAAUAUUUGUGAGAAUGACUUAUUUUGGGAUAGCAACAAAUUUAGUUGUGUAUCUUACAAACAAGCUUCACGAGGGUACUGUGGAAUCUUCAAACAGCGUUAGCAAUUGGUCGGGUUCGGUUUUAUUGAUGCCGGUUGUAGGAGUUUACGUAGCUGAUGCCUAUCUUGGUCGAUAUUAGACCUUCGUAAUUUCAUCAUGCAUUUAUCUCAUGGUAAGACCUGAGAAUUAUUCUUACUAUUUUUUUAAAUUUAAUAGUCUAAUGACUGAAAUUUCACCUUAUGAAGAUGAAUAAAUGAGAUGUCGUGAGUUUGAACCCGCGUGCCCUACAGCCGAAUGUCCCUGCGCAACUCACCGCUUUUGGCACCCCCACAGUCCAAUUGAAUCAGUCUUGGGCCUUGUUGCCCACACCACCAUUUCAUUGUUUAGCCUACUGUUGUUUGGGCUUGCACCCCCUCAGUCUUUGCCCAUUCCGUUUUCUGAAUCCAUUAACUUGCUUUUUUGUGGAUCUUUAGUUAAGUAGGGUCUGGUUUAGUUGAUUAAGAUUUGGUUUGGUUAAUUGGAAUUUAGUUAGUUAAUUAGGAUAUAGUUUAGAUUAAUAUUAGGGUUAAGUCUAGGUUAGUUUUUAGGAUUAGAUUAAAUAUUAAUUUUAGAUAUCGAUUUUUGGAUAUUAUGUUAGAAUUGAGUUGUGAAUAUUAUUUUAGAAAUAAUUUUAGAUAUUGAUUUUUUGAAUAAAUCCUAGAUAUUUGUUUUGAAUAUUGUUUAGAAUCGAUUUAGAUCUUUUGAUUUGAUUUCUUUUUUUAAUAGUUUAGAUAUUGAUUUGGAUUUGAUUUUAGAGAUUGUUUUGAUUUUAGAAUUAUUUUGAAUGUCUUUAGAAUAUGGUUUGAUUUGUUGAUUUUAGAGGUGAUUUUAAAAUUUGAUUCUUGAAGUCUUUAGUAUAUACUUGUUUUGAUACAUUUGAAUAUUAAUUUUAGAUAUUAUUUAUAUUUAAUAUUCUAGUAUUGAUUUUAAUUCUCUUAUAUUUCUCAUAUUUCUCUAUAAUACUAAUUUUUUAACAUCUAACAUCUAACUCCUAACUUUUAAUUUUGCACUCUAACUUUUAAUUUCUUGUACCUAACUUCUAACAUUUAACUUUUGUCAUUUUUACUUACUUUGACUUUACUUUGCUUUACACCAUAAUUGUGCAUCCAUCAUCAUUCUUCACUUCAUCUUAAUAAUCGACUUAAAAUGGAUCAACAUAAAAAAUGGAAAAAAGAAAAGAUUAAGACCUAAGCAUAGAAUGGACAAUGGACCAUGGACUUAGAGAUUUCUAUUAGGACACUUGCAUUAGACCUUGGACAAAUAUUAGACCCGAGCACGAAAGGAGCAUUCAAGAAUCAAAGGAAUUGUAAUAUUUUUUGUGUAAUUUCUAGCUUAUGACACAAUUGCACGCACAAGGCUUUCUCCUGGGCUACCUGACAAUGAGACAUUUUAUUUCAUGCAAUCCCUUGUACUUUUCAUGUACCCCCCUCCCCUUUUGGAUGUACACUUUUACUUGCUUUCCUUAUCUUUCUUAUUGCUUGAUUGAUAUCCCUUAGACAUUAGGAGUGAUCACUCUUUCACAUUUAAUAAACAAACCCUUGAUCCAA
This is a long non-coding RNA of Lathyrus oleraceus (garden pea), 1790 nucleotides long. RefSeq lists it as uncharacterized. The transcript is spliced from 2 exons. The record is from RefSeq and is a predicted model, not a curated record. NCBI's taxonomy places the organism in Eukaryota, Viridiplantae, Streptophyta, Magnoliopsida, Fabales, Fabaceae.